This is a long non-coding RNA of Melospiza melodia melodia, 481 nucleotides long. RefSeq lists it as uncharacterized. The record is from RefSeq and is a predicted model, not a curated record. The transcript is spliced from 3 exons. Lineage: Eukaryota; Metazoa; Chordata; Aves; Passeriformes; Passerellidae.
CACCGGUGCCAGGUGAAUGGGCUGGGAUGGCAGAACCUGGCAUCGGGUGAGCGGGGUGGGCUCGGGAGUGAUGGGAUCUGGGGCCAGGUGAGCGGGGUGGGCUCGGGAAUGGCGGGGUCUGGGGCCAGGUGAGCAUUGGGGAUGCAGGAAUGGCAGCUCCGGUGCCAGGUGAAUGGGCUGGGAUGGCAGAACCUGGCAUCAGGUGAGCGGGGGGGGCUCGGGAGUGACGGGACCUGGGGUCAGGUGAGGGGGGUGAGCUCGGGAAUGAUGGGAUCAGGGGCCAGGAGAGAGGGGUGAGCUCGGGAAUGGCGGGAUCUGGGGUCAGGUGAGAGGGGUGGGAUGGUGGGACCUGGGGUCAGGUGAGGGUGGUGAGCUCGGGAAUGGCAGGAUCUGGGGUCAGGUGAGCAUUGGGGAUGCAGGAAUGGCGGCACCUGGCACCAGGUGAAUGGGCUGGGAUGGCGGGACCUGGAGCCAGGUGGGC